AGCGAACGCUGGCGGUAGGCCUAACACAUGCAAGUCGAACGGCAGCACUGUAAGAGCUUGCUCUUACGGGUGGUGAGUGGGGGGCGGGUGAGGAAUACAUCGGAAUCUACUUUUUCGUGGGGGAUAACGUAGGGAAACUUACGCUAAUACCGCAUACGACCUACGGGUGAAAGCAGGGGAUCUUCGGACCUUGCGCGUUUGAAUGAGCCGAUGUCGGAUUCGUUCGUUGGCGGGGUAAUGGCCCACCACGGCGAGGAACCGUAGCUGGUCUGAGGGGUGGGUCAGCUACCUGGGAAGUGAGACACGGUCCAGACUCCUACGGGAGGCAGCAGUGGGGAAUAUUGGACGAAGGGGGAGAGCGUGAUCCAGGCAUACGGCGUGGGUGCAGAACCCGCUCGGGUGGUAAAGCCCUGUUGUUGGUAAGGAAGAGCAGCCGUUUAGUACCCCGCGGUUCUGACGGUACCCGAAGAAGAAGCACCGGCUAACUUCGUG
This 492-nucleotide ribosomal RNA is filed under the name uncultured bacterium. Its description in RNAcentral is "partial 16S ribosomal RNA". It matches the Rfam family "Bacterial small subunit ribosomal RNA", at positions 30 to 507 of the family's 1533-position model. The record is from RNAcentral.